Long non-coding RNA from Ochotona curzoniae (black-lipped pika), 177 nucleotides. RefSeq lists it as uncharacterized. The record is from RefSeq and is a predicted model, not a curated record. Lineage: Eukaryota; Metazoa; Chordata; Mammalia; Lagomorpha; Ochotonidae. The transcript is spliced from 3 exons.
UGUUGUUUUCUGUUGGUAAAUAUUUUGUUGAGGAUUUUUGCAACCUUGUUCAUCAGGGAUACCAGUGUGUAGUUCUCUUUUUCUGCUGUGUCUAUAUCUGGCUUUGGUAUUAAAGUGAUAUUGGCUUCACAGAAAGAUUUUGGAAGGAUUGUCUCCCUUUUUGUUAUUUGGAAUAGA